This is a non-coding RNA of Vermiconidia calcicola, 72 nucleotides long. NCBI's taxonomy places the organism in Eukaryota, Fungi, Ascomycota, Dothideomycetes, Mycosphaerellales, Extremaceae. The record is from the annotation of a GenBank genome assembly.
GAGAAAGUAGCUCAGCGGUAGAGCAAUCGUCUUACACACGAACGGUCAGGUGUUCAAAUCACUUUUUUCUCA